Molecule: non-coding RNA, 50 nt
Filed under: Microvirga massiliensis
Lineage: Bacteria; Pseudomonadati; Pseudomonadota; Alphaproteobacteria; Hyphomicrobiales; Methylobacteriaceae
Description: serC leader
Rfam family: serC leader
About the family: This family is a putative regulatory RNA structure that is found upstream of the serC-serA operon in some alpha-proteobacteria. The final stem of the structure overlaps the ribosome binding site of the serC reading frame.
Source: RNAcentral
CGGCGGGACACCCCUCCCCACCGAGGGGCGCCCAUCUGGAAGGAUGGCAC